RNAcentral lists this long non-coding RNA (5663 nucleotides) under Homo sapiens (human). Its description in RNAcentral is "HSALNT0054875". Lineage: Eukaryota; Metazoa; Chordata; Mammalia; Primates; Hominidae. The record is from RNAcentral.
CUUUGGGAAUGUCAGGCCUCUGAGCCCAAGCCAAGCCAUCGCAUCCCCUAUGACAUGCACGUACACGCCCAGAUGGCCUGAAGUAACUGAAGAAUCACAAAAGAAGUGAAUAUGCCCUGCCCCACCUUAACUGAUGACAUUCCACCACAAAAGAAGUGUAAAUGGCCAGUCCUUGCCUUAACUGAUGACAUUACCUUGUGAAAGUCCUUUUCCUGGCUCAUCCUGGCUCAAAAAGCACCCCCACUGAGCACCUUGCGACCCCCCGCUCCUACCCGCCAGAGAACAAACCCCCUUUGACUGUAAUUUUCCUUUACCUAACCAAAUCCUAUAAAACGGCCCCACCCUUAUCUCCCUUCGCUGACUCUCUUUUCGGACUCAGCCCGCCUGCACCCAGGUGAAAUAAACAGCCUCGUUGCUCACACAAAGCCUGUUUGGUGGUCUCUUCACACGGACGCGCAUGAAAUUUGGUGCCGUGACUCGGAUCGGGGGACCUCCCUUGGGAGAUCAAUCCCCUGUCCUCCUGCUCUUUGCUCCGUGAGAAAGAUCCACCUACGACCUCAGGUCCUCAGACCAACCAGCCCAAGAAACAUCUCACCAAUUUCAAAUCCGGUAAGCGGCCUCUUUUUACUCUGUUCUCCAACCUCCCUCACUAUCCCUCAACCUCUUUCUCCUUUCAAUCUUGGCGCCACACUUCAAUCUCUCCCUUCUCUUAAUUUCAAUUCCUUUCAUUCUCUGGUAGAGACAAAAGAGACAUGUUUUAUCCGUGAACCCAAAACUCCGGCGCCGGUCACGGACUGGGAAGGCAGUCUUCCCUUGGUGUUUAAUCAUUGCAGGGACGCCUCUCUGAUUUCACGUUUCAGACCACGCAGGGAUGCCUGCCUUGGUCCUUCACCCUUAGCGGCAAGUCCCGCUUUCCUGGGGCAGGGGCAAGUACCCCUCAACCCCUUCUCCUUCACCCUUAGCGGCAAGUCCCGCUUUUCUGGGGCAGGGGCAAGUACCCCUCAACCCCUUCUCCUUCACCCUUAGCAGCAAGUCCCGCUUUCCUAGGGGGCAAGAACCCCCCAAUCGCUUAUUUUCACGCCCCAACCUCUUAUCUCUGUGCCCCAAUCCCUUAUUUCCACGCCCCAAUCUCUUAUCUCUGCGCCCCAAUCCCUUAUUUCCGCGCCCCAACCCUUUCUCUGCUUUUCUGGAGGGGAAGAAACCCCCACCCCUUCUCCGUGUCUCUACUCUUUUCUCUGGGCUUGCCUCCUUCACUAUGGGCAAGCUUCCACCUUCCAUUCCUUUCUUCUCCCUUAGCAUGUAUUCUUAAGAACUUAAAAUCUCUUCAAUUCUCACCUGACCUAAAAUCUAAGCGUCUUAUUUUCUUCUGCAAUGCCACUUGACCCCAAUACAAACUCAACAGUAGUUCCAAAUAGCCAGAAAAUGGCACUUUCAAUUUUUCCACCCUACAAGAUCUAAAUAAUUCUUGGCGUAAAAUGGGCAAAUGGUGUGAGGUGCCUGACGUCCAGGCAUUCUUUUACACAUCAGUCCCUUCCUAGUCUCUGUGCCCAGUGCAACUCGUCCCAAAUCUUCCUUCUUUCCCUCCCGCCUGUCCCCUCAGUACCAACCCCAAGCGUCACUGAGUCUUUCUAAUCUUCCUUUUCUACAGACCCAUCUGACCUCUCCCUUCCUCCCCAGGCUGCUCCUUGCCAGGCCGAGCUAGGUCCCAAUUCUUCCUCAGCCUCUGCUCCUCCACCCUAUAAUCUUUUUAUCACCUCCCCUCCUCACACCUGCUCCGGCUUACAGUUUCAUUCCGUGACUAGCCCUCCCCGACCUGCCCAGCAAUUUAUUCUUAAAAAGGUGGCUGGAGCUAAACGCAUAGUCAAGGUUAAUGCUCCUUUUUCUUUAUCCCAAAUCAGAUAGUGUUUAGGCUCUUUUUCAUCAAAUAUAAAAAUCUAGCCCAGUUCAUGGCUCGUUUGGCAGCAACCCUAAGACACUUUACAGCCCUAGCCCCUAAAAGGUCAAAAGGCCAUCUUAUUCUCAAUAUACAUUUUAUUACCCAAUCUGCUCCCGACAUUAAAUAAAACUCCAAAAACUGGAAUCUGGCCCUCAAACCCCACAACAGGACUUAAUUAACCUCACCUUCAAGGUGUGAAAUAACAGAAAAAAGUUGCAAUUCCUUGCCUCCACUGUGAGACAAACCCCAGCCACAUCUCCAGCACACAAGAACUUCCAAACGCCUGAACUGUAGCAGCCAGACGUUUCUCCAGAACCUCCUCCCCCAGGAACUUGCUACACAUGCCGGAAAUCUGGCCACUGGGCCAAGGAACGCCCGCAGCCCGGGAUUCCUCCUAAGCCGCGUCCCAUCUGUGUGGGACCCCACUGAAAAUCGGACUGUUCAACUCACCUGGCAGCCACUCCCAGAGCUCCUGGAACUCUGGCCCAAGGUUCUCUGACUGACUCCUUCUUGGCUUACUGGCUGAAGACUGACGCUGCCUGAUCGCCUCAGAAGCCCCGCAGACCAUCAUGGACGCCGAGCUUUAGCCCGCCUGCACCCAGGUGAAAUAAACAGCCUUGUUGCUCACACAAAGCCUGUUUGGUGGUCUCUUCACACAGACGCGCAUGAAAGGGAAGACAUACAAAAACAAGGCCUCUGAGGUAGGUACUACUGAGACAGCCAGGUGGGAAGGACUCCUUGGCAAAACUCCAACCAGCCUGUACACUGGGAGGAAUGUGCACUGGGAUGGAGCCAUAGAAGUUUGUGUCGUUUGCAGUGGGGAGGAGCCUGGUCCCUCCUCUUCCUGUGAGGAACCUGGAAUUCAAUCUGUGAGGAACUUCUUGAAAGACCCAUCAAUUCUUCAAUAGAAAGCAUCAAAGGACAAUUUACACCCUAAGACUGAACCCCUGACCUCAAAAUCUUUCCCUUGCUAUGUUCACCAACCUCAACAGAAAUAUUAGGAUUCUUACCUGAUCCUAGCCAAGCCCCCUCCCUCAUCUCCCAUUAAAGGGUCCAUCUUCAACCAAACUUAAGUCUCAAUAAAUAUCUGGACAUUGUCCUUCCAACUCUGGGAAGCUGCUAAGACUCUGUCCUUACUGCAGAAGAAAAAACAGCCUUGUACCCUGGUCUUCUCAACAGGUUGUUCUGGAGAUGUUCUGGGGAGACUGCAUUAAACACAGCUUCGCACCAUUGAAUAAACUCAGCAACAAGCCAAUGCAUAAAAGUAAUCUAUGCUUCAGGUCACAGAAGCUUCAAGGGGAAAAAAACAGAAUACUCUAGGGCCAUUGUUCACAAACUCAUCUGAAAACAUCCUGGAAAAAUUUUCCCAAACACAUGGAAAGAAAGAGAGGAAAAAAGAAGAUAUCUGAAUAAUGUGGACUAGAAUAAAGAGCUGCCAGGAGCUGUUUAUUUAAAAACAGUACUUUCUUCUCUGGCUGAGUCCCUGGUAUUCUCUGCUGCAAUCUGUAGCUGUAGAAUUUUGAAGAAUGCAAUUAAAUUCAAAUGGUUUGAUGAGUAAUAUCUUUUCUCUUCAUAUUUGUCUAAAACUUUUCUUUAUUGAAUAGCGAGAGUGAUGAAAGUGUUUUCCAUAAUAAUAACAAUGACAAGGGCCUGAUGAUGAACUACAAUUAGCUCAGUGAUUCAUCAGUUAGCAGUGAAAUUUUCAAUGCAUCCUGACAUUUAGAGCAUUUGGUUGUGAUUAACAGUCUUUGAAAUGUCACCGAAUUUUAUUUAAUUGGCUAAGAAAAAAUUUUAAAAGGUAAUCACUGCAAAGAUCACAUUCAUCGCCAAAAAUGAUAAUUGCAGUUGUCACAUGACAAGGUAGAUGCUAACUACUGUAGCAAACUUGCUCUGUGUUCUUACAGAAUCUAAUGAAUGCAGCAGAGAUCAAGAGCUUGAAGGGGCUUAGAAGUUUAUUUGAAUGCUCCUUUCAAAGCCAUUUGUAUCAAGAACUGCAAGCCUUUAAGUCAUCUGAGCAAAUACCAAAACUGAAAUGCAGCCCAGCACUGCUGAAAGGGAGCCAGGUCCUGCCUCAUCAGGCUGAAUCUCAACCCCACGAGAAAGGGACCACCAGGACCACCUCACGGGUGUGUGACAUGCACAGCUGCACAAGAUUACACUAAGAAAGCUCCGCACUUGGUUCAAGGCUUUGCUACCAUUACCUUAAAAUUCUCAAUAACUGUGAACAAGAAACCCUGUAAACUCUGGCUGAGUCAGGCUUCUCAGCCCCAAUCUGCCUUACUCCAGGGGCCACAGACUUAACCAUACAACAAUCUCCUAACCCUUUCUCCUUCGCCACUUAGGCCAGAGAACAGGGAAAGAGAAAUUCACUGCAGGGAAGACUUCCAAACAAGGGACUCCACAGCUCAGAGAAGUCUCCCCCUGCUCUGGCCACUAGGUUUUUGAGAUAAAACGAGAGGGAAUUUUCAAACUGUAACAGGUCUUUUCAAUAUCACCACCUGGAAAGAGCCUGCUGAGAUGCAGAGACCCAAGCCCUAAGAAGGCACCUGCCCAGCAGCCUAGUCCUCUGUCCUCGCCGGCUGUGUCACUAAAACUAUUACUUUGCUGUCAACAGAGAUGUACUGUCCAAAACACGGACUCUUACAUAAAUGUUUACAUCCUGUAGCCAACAGCCCCUUGGAGCUCAUUAGGUGACCGGGGCUUUGGAUUUGUACUGAGGAAGUUGACUUGGCACCUUCUCUCCUUAUUUUUCUCUUCUCCUCUGCAGUCAUGACACUGGCUCAGGACUGAGAUCUAAACAGUCAUCUUCGUGGCAACAGGUAUUAUUGGUAAAAGAGAGUCUGGAAAUUAGGGCCUAGCCUUUCUUGAGAGGCCAGUAUAGCUGAGUAGUAAAAAGUCAAGUUUUGGAGUCAGGUGUAACUAACCCACAAUCCAAGUUAUGAACUGUGGAGUGAAUGACUCACCUGCCUGGGCUUCUGCUUGCUCACCUGCAAAAUGACAACAGCCUGCCCUACAGAGCUGCCUGCAGACCAACAGCAGCAAGGCCUUGGGAGUCUCUGCUGGUCUCCCAGCUCCUGCUUGACACCUCAAGAUGAUGUUGCUCCAUUUAGUGCCUGUUUGUUCUCAGACUAUCCCAUGCCUUCUUCCUGCAAACCACAGCUCUCAAGCUCCCCAACAGUUUGACAAGGAUCAUACAAAGGGGAAAGGAAGCAAGGAAAGAAUCAAGGUCUUUCUAAGCAAUUUCUCUACGCUCUCAGGGGAUAGGCAUUUUCUGGCCGUGACUGUGUCUCCUCCAUAGUUCCAACUUCCACAGGACAGGUCCUUCCCUCCAUAGUCACAGUUCUUCUUGGGUAGCCUCCUCCACACUUCUGAAUGGCCCAUCUGAAUGGCCACAGUGACUCGGCGCUGAUGUCACCCCUCCUGCCUGUUGUACCCCCUGCCCUAGAGAGGAGAUGCCUCCUGCUGAUGCUAAUCUGUGGAUUGCUUCAUUCUCUGGUUUCUCAGCUUUUCCAUCCCUUAUGCCAUCAAUUGCCCGAAUUAAACUCCUACUAUUUAAAAUACCUAGAGUGGUUUUUAUUUUUCUGCUUCUUAACAUCUUCACUGCUAUCUCCCUAGUCCAAGUCACCAUUAUCUUACCCAGAUAACUUAAUGGCCUCCCUGUUAUUGUCCUUGCCCUCCUAGGGUUGCUUCUAAAUACAGCAGCCAGAAAAAUGCUGUUGAGUUCAAG